ACAUUACAACUGAUUGGUUCAUUCACAUGCAGUGGUUGCAAAAAGCCUGGUUUGGGAAGUCGUUACAUAUGUACAAACACAUAUUGUCAUAACGUCUUCCAUAAAGAAUGUACAGAAUGCCUUCAUUCAAAAGAAAAAGAAGAGAGAAUGAGUUCUUUCAUGAAAUAUACCAUGAAAGGGUUGCACGUAACAUCGCUAGUGGGGCAUAUAACAUUGGUAGCCUUAGGGGAUAUUACUUCUCUUGGUGAAGCUGUUAAAGACC
Molecule: long non-coding RNA, 262 nt
Filed under: Trifolium pratense (red clover)
Lineage: Eukaryota; Viridiplantae; Streptophyta; Magnoliopsida; Fabales; Fabaceae
Description: long non-coding RNA (TPRA_LNC010628)
Source: RNAcentral